Molecule: long non-coding RNA, 869 nt
Filed under: Homo sapiens (human)
Lineage: Eukaryota; Metazoa; Chordata; Mammalia; Primates; Hominidae
Description: non-protein coding ZBED3-AS1:50
Source: RNAcentral
AGCCCUUUGCAGGACGUGCAACAGGGUUGUGGCUCGUGUGUUCGGUCUCUGCCUGCUGAAACCCCUUAUGGGAGGUGGAGCAUGCAGACGGACGGGUGCAGGAGCCAGGGUGCAAAAGCUGGGGCGCUGGGCUUCCAGCCCCACGGCAGUGUCCAGGGGCAGGAUCCCGUGAUUCCCGGAGCCCAAAUGGGCGUGUGUUACAGUGUGCUCUUUUAGCCUUACCAUCAGCUGACGGCUUAAGUGUUAACCAGCUCAAUAGACCCUCUGCCUUUUUGCAAGCGCAGAGGGUCAGUGUGACAGUUUCUGUAUCUCAGCUCUUGUCUCACCUCCCAGAAGAAUCAGGUCACACAUGGACUUGAAGGAUGACGGGCCUGUCUAAUUGCAGGAAAACAAACUCAGGGCUCCCACUGAUUCUACAUUACGAACACCAGAGACUGGGUAAUUAAUAAAAAGAAGAAAUUGAUCUGGCCUACAGUUCUGGAGCCUUGGAAGUCCGAGAUCAAGGAGCUGCAUCUGAUAAAUACCUGGAGUGGGAUUGCUAGAUCACAUGGAAAACACAGAUCCUGGUGCCGAACAUGAGGACAGGGCAGGCCGAAGGAGAAAGUGGAAGGAGGGGAGCUUCUCUCUCAGCCUCAUCCUUCUGGGCCUGGAUGCUGGAGAGUCAUGAGGUGCUUCAGAGUACUCUGGGUGAGGAGGGAAAGAUGGUGCCCACCACAUGGAGGCCAGCCUAGGUCUUGUAUGAAACCUGUGAGCCAGCCUCACUGGUUCCAGAGCGAUACUCAGAGCUGUUCUCAGAUACCAGACUGGAAUAAACGAGAGACAUCUGGAGAAAGGAGACCUCUUCCUAUCCCAACAGGACUGUGUUUCAC